Long non-coding RNA from Herpailurus yagouaroundi (jaguarundi), 1922 nucleotides. RefSeq lists it as uncharacterized. Lineage: Eukaryota; Metazoa; Chordata; Mammalia; Carnivora; Felidae. The record is from RefSeq and is a predicted model, not a curated record. The transcript has 3 exons.
UAGUAAUUAUGACGGUUCAGGUAUAAGGUGAUGACGAUACCCUGGAUUAGGGUGGCCUAGCGGCAGAGGUGUUGAAAGAGAUCCUAUUCUGGAUGUAUUUUAAAAUGGGGCUGAUGGCACGUUGGGGUGUGUGGAAAACAGAAGUAACGACUGCUCUAAGCCGUGGGUUCUGCUCUGAGCCGGUGGGUUCAUGGAAGUAGCAUUCAAGACGAUGAGGAAGAUGGAGAGCAACAGGUUUUGCCCUUGAGUUUGAGAAGGCAAAGGAGUUUUGAGUUGCUUACUAGCCAUCUGCACUGGAAGGGCAGGCCUGCCAUCUUUCUAUACCCACUGCCAGCUACACCCUGCAUCACAAGGGAUGUGUGGGCACCCCAGCCUGCAUGGCCAAGCUCCAUUCACCUAGGCCACCGCUGGGGCUGGGCAUCUGCACAUUGGUGGCAUGGUCAGGAAGGGAGCAAAUGUCCACACAAAUGGCCUCAGGGCCAACUAGGUAGGGAAUUCCAGAGUCCCCUGUAACCAAAGUGUGGUCUAGGAGUGGACGCCUGGCUCUUGGCCACUGUGGUGAGGACUGUGCCUGGAGGAGGUGCAGAUCUGGGCUGUUUUGAGCAGGGGCUCAGGGCAGGAUCGUCUCUGAGGGCAGCUCAGGAGAACACAUUUAUGUGAUUCUGCAGUUUGGAGUGUGGACUAGAGAUAGGAAUUUGGGGUUGCCAAGAACUGGCCAAAAACAAAUGAGCCAUCACAGGUCUCAAGAUUUCAGAAGAUUUUAGUAUCCUCCACUGGGCCAUGGGCCUUGCCGCUGUAAUUUUGGUAGUAUUGGUCAGGUUACGAUGAAAACAAGUUUGCACCCGGCACUCCUACAUACGCAAGACGCAGUGGCAGAUGGAUGAAAAAACGGUUGUUUUAAGAUUGGUGAAAUCCCACCUCUUUGUCUCUUAGGCCCCUGGGAAGCACUUUGCAGGUUAGCUUGAUGAGAUGUGAUGAUUUUCUGGCAGAGGAUUCAGCUAACCUUUUGAUCAGAUGACAACCCAGACUGGAUGUAGAGCUAGUGAGUGUACCUCUCUGAGCGUGGGGCGUGCUGGUCUCGGGAUGCUUCAUCCUGUUCAUGCCAGGGCAGGAGGCCUUGCACAGUGUUUCUAGCCAAGCCUUGUAUCCAGACACAGCUCCUUUCAUAAGUAUUUUCACAAGUGUUCCUAGCAUUCUGUAUGCGAAUUAACAAAUCCCCUGAUGGAGAUUUAGAUAGCCAUAUCCUUAACUUAUUGUGUUAAUCACUCCAUCGUGAAUUAUGUGAAAGUAGGUGACAGAUAAUAUAACGGGACUCAUCAAUAUUUACAGGUGGUAUUUUAAACUGAGGGGCAGGGUUGGAUUGAACCCUGGGGCACUCAAAACAUUUGGAAGUUAGGAAGAACGGCCGAAUCAAGAGACUGAAGAGAAUUACGGAGAAGAAAAACAUAAGUAACACAGUUUCAAGAAGAGAAGCCUCACCAACCACAUCAAAUUCUGUGUAAAUGUUGAGUAGGACAAACCAGACAACAGCCCGUUGGAUUUGGCUCCAUGGAAGCAUUCGUGACAUCCGGGAGUGGAGGGGAUGGGAUUCUGCUGGAAUGGCUUAGCGGGAGAAGGGGAAGGGAGAAAAUGGAGACAGCAAACGGGAUGUUCCCCAGGUUUACAGAGAAACGGGGGAGACUGAUGGGAGACAGACACGUGUCCAUGUGCUGAUGGAAAUGACCCAGGAGAAUAAGUGACAGUGCGGGGUCGGCCUUUACAGGAGAAAUAUGAAAGCCAUUGUCACUGUGUGUCUGCUUUUCCACAGCUACUUGUUUGUGUAUUGUAUUUGCUCAGUUCACACAUCAACAAUCAUUGCUUGAAGGGUUGAGUGAGUUUAAUGGGGAUGCUUGUAAUCACUCCCCCUAAUAAACAUCUCUUCC